AGGAAAGAUUGAGAAAGGCAUGAUGAAAUAACUACCGUGUUUCCCCGAAAAUAAGACAGUGUCUUAUGUUAAUUUUUGCUCCCAAAGAUGCUCUAGGUCUUAUUUUCAAGGGAUGUCUUAUUUUUCCAUGAAGAAGGAUUCACAUUUAUUGUUGAACAAAAAAAAUGAACAUUUAUUAUAUACUGUACAGUAGUUGUCAUCACAAACCAGCAUAACCAGACAAACUGUGAAUUCUAUCAAGAAUUUCUUGUUACUACCAAUAUUUCCAUGUACAACAAUCUAUGGUACAUACAUUUACUGAUCUUGCAUACUCUGGUGUUCUGUUCGGCGGGCAGGCUUCCAAACACAAACUUUGCUAGGUCUUACUUUCGGGGGAGGCCUUAUAUUUAGCAAUUCAGCAAAACUUCUACUAGGUCUUAUUUUCUGGGGAUGUCUUAUUUUAGGGGAAACAGGGUAAGGGGCAUGUAAUAAUGGCUGAGUCAUAAUCAUGUGAGGUUUAUGACAAAGCAUUUCAUCAGUCAUUUGACCCUUACUGAUGACAAGUCAGCAGGUGGUUAUAAAGGGAGAUGAAAUGACCAAUCUCUCUGUUUCCUGUGUGAAUCUCAUCAUGAAUAUCUCUUCGUGUGUGAUUCUCUGAGGAUCGUUUCAUUCUACAUUGUUACUGAAAUCAAGAGGAAGGAAGACUUGCAUACUUUGUAACUAUGGAAAAUAUGAAGCUCUCCAGACUAAUUAGAAGAUUCAAACUGAGCAUAUUGAAUUCCCACCGUGAAUAAAAAUGACAGAUACAAGAA
Molecule: long non-coding RNA, 791 nt
Organism: Anolis carolinensis (green anole)
Lineage: Eukaryota; Metazoa; Chordata; Lepidosauria; Squamata; Anolidae
Exons: 2
Source: RefSeq, a predicted model, not a curated record